This 564-nucleotide ribosomal RNA is filed under the name uncultured bacterium. RNAcentral describes it as "partial 16S ribosomal RNA". It matches the Rfam family "Bacterial small subunit ribosomal RNA", at positions 355 to 911 of the family's 1533-position model. The record is from RNAcentral.
UGGGGAAUUUUGGACAAUGGGGGAAACCCUGAUCCAGCCAUCCCGCGUGUGCGAUGAAGGCCUUCGGGUUGUAAAGCACUUUUGGCAGGAAAGAAACGUCGCGGGUUAAUACCCCGCGAAACUGACGGUACCUGCAGAAUAAGCACCGGCUAACUACGUGCCAGCAGCCGCGGUAAUACGUAGGGUGCAAGCGUUAAUCGGAAUUACUGGGCGUAAAGCGUGCGCAGGCGGUUCGGAAAGAAAGAUGUGAAAUCCCAGAGCUUAACUUUGGAACUGCAUUUUUAACUACCGGGCUAGAGUGUGUCAGAGGGAGGUGGAAUUCCGCGUGUAGCAGUGAAAUGCGUAGAUAUGCGGAGGAACACCGAUGGCGAAGGCAGCCUCCUGGGAUAACACUGACGCUCAUGCACGAAAGCGUGGGGAGCAAACAGGAUUAGAUACCCUGGUAGUCCACGCCCUAAACGAUGUCAGNUGCUGUUGGGGGCCUUCGGGCCUUGGUAGCGCAGCUAACGCGUGAAGUUGACCGCCUGGGGGAGUACGGUCGCAAGAUUAAAACUUAAAGGAAUU